RNAcentral lists this ribosomal RNA (253 nucleotides) under uncultured bacterium. Its description in RNAcentral is "partial 16S ribosomal RNA". It matches the Rfam family "Bacterial small subunit ribosomal RNA", at positions 524 to 776 of the family's 1533-position model. The record is from RNAcentral.
UACGGAGGGGGCUAGCGUUAUUCGGAAUUACUGGGCGUAAAGGGCUCGUAGGCGGCCAACUAAGUCAGACGUGAGAUCCCUCGGCUUAACCGGGGAACUGCGUCUGAUACUGGAUGGCUAGAGGUUGGGAGAGGGAUGCGGAACUCCAGGUGUAGCGGUGAAAUGCGUAGAUAUCUGGAGGAACACCGGUGGCGAAGGCGGCAUCCCGGACCAAUUCUGACGCUGAGGAGCGAAAGCCAGGGGAGCAAACGGG